UCUGCCUUCUCUUUGGCAAGAUAAUGGCCAA
This 31-nucleotide non-coding RNA is filed under the name Rattus norvegicus (Norway rat). The record is from RNAcentral. Lineage: Eukaryota; Metazoa; Chordata; Mammalia; Rodentia; Muridae.